GACGAACGCUGGCGGCGUGCUUAACACAUGCAAGUUGAACGGAAAGGCCCUGCUUUUGUGGGGUGCUCGAGUGGCGAACGGGUGAGUAACAUGUGAGUAACCUGCCCUUGACUUUGGGAUAACUUCAGGAAACUGGGGCUAAUACCGGAUAGGAGCUCCUGCUGCAUGGUGGGGGUUGGAAAGUUUCGGCGGUUGGGGAUGGACUCGCGGCUUAUCAGCUUGUUGGUGGGGUAGUGGCUUACCAAGGCUUUGACGGGUAGCCGGCCUGAGAGGGUGACCGGCCACAUUGGGACUGAGAUACGGCCCAGACUCCUACGGGAGGCAGCAGUGGGGAAUAUUGCACAAUGGGCGGAAGCCUGAUGCAGCAACGCCGCGUGCGGGAUGACGGCCUUCGGGUUGUAAACCGCUUUCGCCUGUGACGAAGCGUGAGUGACGGUAAUGGGUAAAGAAGCACCGGCUAACUACGUG
RNAcentral lists this ribosomal RNA (468 nucleotides) under uncultured bacterium. RNAcentral describes it as "partial 16S ribosomal RNA". It matches the Rfam family "Bacterial small subunit ribosomal RNA", at positions 28 to 507 of the family's 1533-position model. The record is from RNAcentral.